Long non-coding RNA from Gadus macrocephalus (Pacific cod), 429 nucleotides. RefSeq lists it as uncharacterized. The transcript has 2 exons. The record is from RefSeq and is a predicted model, not a curated record. NCBI's taxonomy places the organism in Eukaryota, Metazoa, Chordata, Actinopteri, Gadiformes, Gadidae.
CAACAGGGUUUUAUCCUCAGAAUCCACUUUUCUCACGAUGUAAUUUUUUGUCAAGUAAUUUGAAAGUUGCUAUCAAAAGGUGGGGCUAAGAUAAAAACUCAGCUGAAUAUUGCAUUUUUUAAGGUCACGUAUCUGUUCUAAAAAGGCGUUAAAAACAUGCGAUGACGUCACACAUUGUCAUACUGUCAGAGGUACUGCUUUACGGCAGUUUCUAAAGCACUUCCCUUUUCCCGCAACGAUAACGCCAGCUGUUGGAGUCGGACCUUGAUGCUGUGACAACGGACAAGUCUUCUUCCUCUGUCCUUUUCCCCUGCCUCUGUUCAGUAUGUUCAGUGUUGUUAAAUCAUUUCUCUUUUUUUUUUAUUAGUUACUGUUCUUAUUGUGUUCUUGUUAGUGUGAUGUUUGAAUAAACUUGCCUGUUGCAAUGUU